This 4684-nucleotide unclassified non-coding RNA is filed under the name Hevea brasiliensis (rubber tree). Lineage: Eukaryota; Viridiplantae; Streptophyta; Magnoliopsida; Malpighiales; Euphorbiaceae. The record is from RNAcentral.
GUAGCUGAAGAUAUUGGACGCCAGGUAUCACUUCAUUUCCAUAUCAAAACAUCCAGUUGAAAAUAUAUAUCUUAGGAUGAAUUUUGUUUCAAUGUGAAUUAUUAGAUCUAUUGAUUGCAUGAUUUGUUCCAGUAGAUUUAUCAAUCACAUUGCUUGGUAGAGACAAUCCAAAAGUAUGUAUCCUAUUUUUUCAUGCCGUUUUUACUUGGACUUAUGCAUGGAGUAAGGUGACAAGUAUGUUGGAUUGUCAGAGUCAAUAUGACCACUUAUUGUGUGUUCUCUUAGUCUGUUAAUGUUCCAGUUUUGUUUUUAACAGUACUAAUAAUCCGAUUGAAUAUGAGAUGAUGCUAGUAUCUGAAUAUGUCAGCCUUGAAAUGAUUAGUUGACUAUUUGAUUCGAUUUUUAUAGUGACUAAUAUUCUGCUGUAUCAAGUAAUACAUAUUAAUUUAUCUGAUAUAUUUCAGUAUUUUUUUGCUCCUCAUUAAUUUAAAUCUUACUAUACAUAUGCAACCUGUAGUAACAUUAGACCUUGCUGAACAUGAUAGUGAAACCAACAAAAUAGUGUAGUCAUCUUGAAAGAAAAUAUUGUGAUCAUGAUACUGAUAUUUUGAGGUUAUUUUGUGUUGUCAAUAUCGGAACAAUGACUGAGCUACAUCUUUGUGUUUUGUUAUUUUACUAGCAAAAAUCAGCUGUUGUCAUCACUCUGCAUCCAGGAUAUAUAGUGUUCUUGUAUGGAUUUAAUUGCCAAAAUGAUCAUUGGAUUCAUCAUAUGGUACCGAUAUAUUAAGUUAUUUUGUGAUAUCCUGAUUGGAGGUCAUCUUGUGCUUCCUUAUUUGAUUACCAAAUAGUAGCUGUUUUCAUGAUUUGUGACUCCCUAUCCAAUAUCUAUAAUGAUGUUCUUUUAUGAUCUAAUAGUCAAGAGAUCAUUGUUCAAAGUUAUUGGUGGCAAAUUGGCAAUCAUAGUUGUAUCAAGCGUAGAUUGACCAAGAUUUUGCUGCAAAAUAUUGCUGUACAUUAUUACCGUUUCACUUUUAUUGUUAUCUGUUAAUGGUUGCAGCUACUUACAUAUGGUAGGAGAAUUCCAUUUGCUGAAUUGUUUGCUAGGAUUGAUGCUGUUGAUGCAAGCACUAUUAAACGCGUUGCCAACAGAUUUAUUCAUGACAAGGAUGUUGCAAUUGCUUCCAUGGGUCCCAUCCAGGGGUUGCCUGACUACAAUUGGUUCAGACGCAGGACUUACUUGAACCGCUACUAGAUUGUCACCUUUGUUUUAUUACUGCGUUGGCACAUUAUGGGCGGUUACAAACGCAUUGCUGCUUUUACAACACAACCAAACAUCUUUUUGGGGCCGCCCCAAGAGGCUGGCUUUUUCAAAUCUUUUUCUUUUAUUUAUAGGUUUUUCUGUGUAAUGCUAGUAUUGUUGCAGUAAUAAAGAAUGCAGUGAUAAGAAAAUUGGUGCUUCUAAUCAAAAGCAGAUUUUGUCGAUUUUUUCCAACUGGAUUCCUCCUUGCUUGCAUGGCGAUGGUGUUUCAGGCUUUAAUUGUUAUUUGUUAAUUCAACCGCCCAGAUAAGCAGUCUUGUUUGAGCCAACCCAUUGAAUGCUUUGGAUCCUUCCCAGGAUUUUAUCUUUAAUAAAUUGAAUAUAUUAUUCUGUUGUUAAUUUUUAAGUUUAUUUUCAAAAUUUCUUUUUAUUAGUUAAACGGCCACCUCUCAAGAAAAAAUUAUAUUAUUAUACAACGGUGGAAGGACAAACUAACAUGGAUAAGAGUGAGCCUAGCCUUGCAAAUGAGAAGGCGAUCUCAAAAGAAAAACUGUCAGGUAAUUUUUUCCUGUAAUAACUGUAUUCGGCUACAUGUAUAAAUUGUAGAGGAUGGUUGAAUGAUUACUCUUACAAGAGGCCACGUAUGUUCUUUCCUUCUAAGUAUGGAUGAUGGAUAAGGAAAAGUAGUUGUUGGUUGAUCCAAUAAUAGCAACCGAUCAUGAACCUAUUAAAAUUGUAAUUGCAACGCUGAUCUAUUAAAUCUCUACAAUUUAAUAGAUCAGCCUUAAGUAAAGACCCCACACCGCAGUCACUGCUUGCACAAGUCGUUGGAGGAGACGAACGUCUCGUGUUCCUCUCUCUCACUCUCCCAUUCCCCCUCCCCACCCCCCCAACCCCAAAACCCAAAAACAUUGUGUGCAAUGCCGAAAUGUGGAAUGGGUGUGGGUAGUUAAGAAACUUGAAUACCUUUGAUGUGAACUGGUGUUUCGUUGUAAAUAUCGAAACCCAUUUCUCUUUAAAAAAUUUGGCUAUUGCCAUUGGCUUCGUUGGCUUUUUGUAUUUCAUUUUCUUGAUUUACUAUCGUCUUUCUUCGAUCCCAUCGCCAACUUUUCUCCUACAAAUCUCCACCCCCCACCCUCGCUCUCUCCUCUGUUAUUUUUCGUUUCCUGGUUUUUAUAUCUUGGUCUUGUGGCAAAUUAAUCAACAAUGGCUUCCUUAUCAGUUCCAGGCCCUAAGCACUCUUUAGUUGCUCAUGUUGGAUCCAAUGCUCCAAACCCACAUCCCAAGUCCACCAUUUCUUUUCCUCCUCGUGCUUCCACUCUUCUUGGAUUUCAGGUUUGUUCUUGCUUUCUUAACAAUAAUGUUUGGUUAUUAUCUUCGUUUUAUCUGCAUUUGUUUUAUUUUCAGCUUUUAUUCUCUUUAAGCUUAAUUUGAUUGUUUCACCGCGACAGUAGUGGAAUGAGAACAGUUUUUCCGAUUUCUGGUUGCUAACGUUUAUGUUUAUAUGGGAUUGGUCACGUCUGCCAGUACGCAUUGGUUAUUAUUGCUCUUUUUUUUUAAUAAAAAAAAUAUUCAUGUGCUGAAAAUUUUUGAGCAUCUGGGAUCAAUUCAAAUGUAUGGAAUUGUAAUUUUCUAAAUCUUUAUCAGCCUAGUUUUGAUCCUAAAUAUACCAACUUCUAUAUGGGAUUGUCACAUCUGCCAGUAUGCAGUAGUGAUGGUGGUGGUGAUUAUUGCUCUUUUUUAAAAAAAAAAAUUAUAUGCAGGAAAAUUCUAAGUGUCUGGGAUCAAUUCAAUCGUAUGGAAAUGUAAUUUCUGAACCUUUGUCAGCCCUGUUUUGAUCCUAAAGAAUCAACAGAGACCUGAGUUGCCUCCUGUAGACUAUAGUUGAAUCACUAUCGACUUCAAUUUUUCAUCUGCUUUUUAGUUAGAACUUCAUCUGCACUCAAUUCUGAGCCCAGCAAGUCAAGCUAUUUUCAGCUUAUAAAUGGGAUUUAAACUAUCUUUUUUGUGAUCAUUACACAAAAGCCUAACAAUAAGCACUUGAUUUUCAAUUUGUAAUACCCUUAUGUCUCAGCGGAAAUACUAUUGCUCUUGAUUGUUGGAUGAUAUGGUUCUCUUUUGCAGUGGCCUGACAGGAAGCAAUCUCCUGUUACAAAGGCGCAGGCACAGCUGAAUGAGGUUAUCUUCGAGAAGUCUUCAAAUUCUACACCAGUGCUGGACACUAACUCCAAAGUUCCAUCAUCUGAGAAAAAAGAUGAGCCUGCAGAAAACAUUCCAGAGGCAUCAUCAAUUUCGGCAUUCAUGACACAAGUAUCAGACCUUGUCAAGCUUGUGGAUUCAAGAGAUAUCACUGAGCUCCAACUGAAGCAAUUAGACUGUGAGCUCAUAAUUAGGAAAAAGGAGGCUUUGCAGCAGCCACCAACACCAGCUCCUGUCAUUUCAAUGCAACCUCAUUACCAACAUGCCCCACUUCCAUCUCCACCACCGGCAGCUCCUGCUUCUGCUCCUCCAAGCUCCACUCCUCCGGUUCCUACAGCUGCCUUGCCUUCCCCUGCAAGGACAAGCACUUCAUCUCAUACACCAUUGAAAUGCCCUAUGGCAGGAACCUUUUAUCGAUCUCCAGCACCUGGUGAACCUCCAUUUGUGAAGGUAGGAGAUAAAGUGCAGAAAGGUCAGGUUAUUUGCAUUAUUGAGGCCAUGAAACUAAUGAAUGAAAUUGAGGCUGAUCAAUCUGGAACCGUAGCUGAGAUUUUGGUAGAAGAUGGGAAACCAGUUAGUGUGGACACGCCAUUAUUUGUCAUUGCACCAUGAUUCACUUCAAAGAAUCAUUAUGCUCGGUAGCAGCCGGUAUUUGCAGAGAAGUUACUUUGAAGUUACGAUAUCUAGUCACCCUUCGAUUUUUUUUUUACUGUGUUACAUCUUCAAAAGAAUAAUUGUCAUAUCUUGGUCCAGGGAAAGCUCUAUUUUACUUUAUCAUUGAAUUUGAUAUGUGGCAGAAGCCUCAAUGCUUUAGAAUAUGGGUGAUGACUGAUUUUUAAAUAGUGUCAAAAAUUUAAGACAUUUUUGGAGUGACCCCAACACAAACAAACAAUCAACUUGUUGCGGGUUGAUUAGAUCAUGUGAUGGAAACCAUUAUGAAGAGCAUGCAGUUUCAAGCUCAAACAUUUAGAAGUUGGAUAAAAAUUAUGGAUUAUUUUAAAGGGGGAGUGCUUAUGCGACUGAUUUGCAAAUUCUCUCUUUCAGAAUACAGAUAUAUGAACGUUCCGACGAAUGAUGGGAAUGUUGAUAGUGGUGAAUUUCAAUAAAACUCUGAAAUGGGAGUAAGAGAAUCAAUUAUCAAGGGAAACAAUUGUUGCAUAUUAUUAUUUUAUUGAUUACUCAAAAUAAAAUGCCUCAUUUUUAAUAAAAAAUGAAAUGGCAAUAACC